Molecule: long non-coding RNA, 210 nt
Filed under: Vicia faba (fava bean)
Lineage: Eukaryota; Viridiplantae; Streptophyta; Magnoliopsida; Fabales; Fabaceae
Source: RNAcentral
AUGGUAUCAGAGCAGGUUAAAUUAAAGGGAGAAAACUAUGAAGAAUGGGCUCGUUCACUUAGAACGGAACUUCGAGCAAGAAAGAAAUUUGGUUUUGUUGAUGGAUCAAUCAGCAAAUCUGACGAGGAAUCUUCAGAUCUUGAAGAUUGGUGGACUAACAAUUCCUUGUUGGCCUCUUGGAUCAUGAACACAAUUGAACCUUCAUUGUGA